GGGAAUGUAGCUAAGUGGUACAGUGCUUUCCUAUUAUAUAUGAGGCCCUGGGUUCAAUCCCAGUACCCCCC
Molecule: transfer RNA, 71 nt
Filed under: Marmota marmota marmota (Alpine marmot)
Lineage: Eukaryota; Metazoa; Chordata; Mammalia; Rodentia; Sciuridae
Also listed under: 1 other name
Rfam family: tRNA
About the family: Transfer RNA (tRNA) molecules are approximately 80 nucleotides in length. Their secondary structure includes four short double-helical elements and three loops (D, anti-codon, and T loops).
Source: Rfam by way of RNAcentral